GUGACCUACAAACGAGAUCUCUAUGCGGCUGAAUCGAUUAUUAAGGAGAGAAUUUCCCAAGAGAUUUGUGUAGUUAUGGAUACAAAAGAAGAUAACAAACAUAUAGGUCAUCUUCUUGAAGAAGUGCUGAAAAGUGAAUUAAAUAUGGAGUCUCACUCUAUUACCAGGCUGGAGUAUAGUGGUGCAAUCUCAGCUCACUGCAACCUCCACCUUCUGGGUUCAAGUGAUUCUCCUGCCUCAGCCUCCACCAUGCCCAUUAGCUGUGUAAUUUUAUCAUGAUAGCACAGUUGGAAAGAGAACAGGCUCUGAUAUCAGACAGCUUGCACUUUGGAUGUCAGCUCUGUUUCCUAAUUUCCUUAUCUGUAAAUUGAAACUGUUAAUAACAUCUAUGUUCUAAAUUUGCUGGGUGAGUUGAAUAAAAUGAAUAUAUUUAAAGUGCUUGGAGAAGCAUCUGGCAUGCAGUACGUUUUCAAUGGAUUUGAACUAUAAUUAAACUUUCAAUGAUAAGUUGGCAGAGUGGUGUGACAGUAUUAGAUAGUACAGACUGUUAGUUCCCAUACUUCAGUGCUGUACUGGAUACAUGAGUUGUUAAAAUUAACAAAUUAACCAGUGUCUUCUACCUCCUCCUUUCUAAAGAAUCUAAUUUGAAUUAGUAUGCUUCAACUUAAAGUUUAUAGCUGAAAGAUGACAGUGAACUUUCUUACUGUAUGUAUUCUUACAUUCAUGUCAUUACCUACUAUUUCCCUCAAACAAUUGUUUAUUCUUAGUCAUAUAAGUAAAUAUAUAUGUAAUAGCCACUACAAAUCCUUAUGUUGAUAUCUUAAAAAUCAUUUUGGUUUUCUGGAACUAAUCCUCCAAAAGAUGCUCUAGUGAGGGCUCGUGGGCACAGUAUUCCCAAGUUCUUCCAUGUGAAUAAAAUUAUUCUUUUGC
RNAcentral lists this small RNA (930 nucleotides) under Pongo abelii (Sumatran orangutan). RNAcentral describes it as "processed transcript". Lineage: Eukaryota; Metazoa; Chordata; Mammalia; Primates; Hominidae. The record is from RNAcentral.